This 255-nucleotide ribosomal RNA is filed under the name uncultured bacterium. RNAcentral describes it as "partial 16S ribosomal RNA". It matches the Rfam family "Bacterial small subunit ribosomal RNA", at positions 524 to 776 of the family's 1533-position model. The record is from RNAcentral.
UACGUAGGGUGCGAGCGUUUGUCCGGAAUUAUUGGGCGUAAAGAGCUCGUAGGCGGUCUGUCGCGUCGAAUGUGAAAAUCCGGGGCUCAACCCCGGACCUGCAUUCGAUACGGGCAGACUAGAGUUCGGUAGGGGAGUCUGGAAUUCCUGGUGUAGCGGUGAAAUGCGCAGGAUAUCAGGAGGAACACCGGUGGCGAAGGCGGGACUCUGGGCCGAUGACUGACGUGAGGAGCGAAAGCGUGGGGAGCAAACAGG